RNAcentral lists this ribosomal RNA (489 nucleotides) under uncultured bacterium. RNAcentral describes it as "partial 16S ribosomal RNA". It matches the Rfam family "Bacterial small subunit ribosomal RNA", at positions 28 to 507 of the family's 1533-position model. The record is from RNAcentral.
GAUGAACGCUAGCGGCAGGCUUAAUACAUGCAAGUCGAGGGGCAGCAGGACUGUAGCAAUACAGUUGCUGGCGACCGGCAAACGGGUGCGGAACACGUACGCAACCUACCCAAAACGGGGGGAUAGCCCGGGGAAACCCGGAUUAAUACCUCGUAACCUUUUUAAGUGGCAUCACUUGAUAAGUAUAGCUCCGGCGGUUUUGGAUGGGCGUGCGCCUGAUUAGGUAGUUGGUGCGGGUAACGGCCCACCAAGCCUGCGAUCAGUAACUGGUGUGAGAGCACGACCAGUCACACGGGCACUGAGCCACGGGCCCGACUCCUACGGGAGGCAGCAGUACGGAAUAUUGGUCAAUGGACGCAAGUCUGAACCAGCCAUGCCGCGUGAAGGAUGAAGGUCCUCUGGAUUGUAACCUUCUUUUAUGGGGGACGCAACCCGGAUAUUCUUAUCCGAUUGACGGUACCUCAGGAAUAAGCACCGGCUAACUCCGUG